RNAcentral lists this unclassified non-coding RNA (520 nucleotides) under uncultured Glomus. RNAcentral's name for it is "SSU rRNA". It matches the Rfam family "Eukaryotic small subunit ribosomal RNA", at positions 569 to 1091 of the family's 1831-position model. The record is from RNAcentral. Lineage: Eukaryota; Fungi; Glomeromycota; Glomeromycetes; Glomerales; Glomeraceae.
AGCAGCCGCGGUAAUUCCAGCUCCAAUAGCGUAUAUUAAAGUUGUUGCAGUUAAAAAGCUCGUAGUUGAAUUUCGGGGUUAGUAGGUUGGUCAUGCCUCUGGUAUGUACUGGUCUCACUGAUUCCUCCUUCCUGAUGAGCCGUAAUGCCAUUAAUUUGGUGUUGCGGGGAAUUUGGACUGUUACUUUGAAAAAUUAGAGUGUUUAAAGCAAGCUAACGCUUGAAUACAUUAGCAUGGAAUAAUGAAAUAGGACGUUCGAUCCUAUUUUGUUGGUUUCUAGGAUUGACGUAAUGAUUAAUAGGGAUAGUUGGGGGCAUUAGUAUUCAAUUGUCAGAGGUGAAAUUCUUGGAUUUAUUGAAGACUAACUACUGCGAAAGCAUUUGCCAAGGAUGUUUUCAUUAAUCAAGAACGAAAGUUAGGGAUCGAAGACGAUCAGAUACCGUCGUAGUCUUAACCAUAAACUAUGCCGACUAGGGAUCGGAUGAUGUUAAUUUUUUAAUGUACUCAUUCGGCGCCUUAA